Molecule: ribosomal RNA, 199 nt
Filed under: uncultured bacterium
Lineage: Bacteria
Description: partial 16S ribosomal RNA
Rfam family: Bacterial small subunit ribosomal RNA
Source: RNAcentral
CGGAUCGGAGUCUGCAACCCGACUCCGUGAAGCUGGAUUCGCUAGUAAUCGCGCAUCAGCCAUGGCGCGGUGAAUACGUUCCCGGGCCUUGUACACACCGCCCGUCAAGCCAUGGAAGCCGGGAGUGCCUGAAGUGCGUGACCGCAAGGAGCGUCCUAAGGCAAUACCGGUGACUGGGGCUAAGUCGUAACAAGGUACC